RNAcentral lists this transfer RNA (71 nucleotides) under Marmota monax (woodchuck). RNAcentral describes it as "tRNA.Thr". The record is from RNAcentral. Lineage: Eukaryota; Metazoa; Chordata; Mammalia; Rodentia; Sciuridae.
GGGGUUGUGGCUCAGUGGUAGAACACUCACCCAGUAUGGGUGAGGAACUGUGUUCAAUCCUCAGCACCACA